GAUGAACGCUGGCGGCGUGCCUAAUACAUGCAAGUCGAGCGAACAGACGAGGAGCUUGCUCCUCUGACGUUAGCGGCGGACGGGGGAGUAACACGUGGAUAACCUACCUAUAAGACUGGGAUAACUUCGGGAAACCGGAGCUACUACCGGAUAAUAUAUUGAACCGCAUUGUUCAAUAGUGAAAGACGGUUUUGCUGUCACUUAUAGAUGGAUCCGAGCCAUAUUAGCUAGUUGGUAAGGUAACGACUUACCAAGCCAAUGAUGAGAUGCCGACCUGGGAGGUAGAGCGGCAGCACCGGAACAAAGACACAGCCCACACACCUCCGAGAGGCAGCAAUAGCGAAUGUUGCUCAACAGGCGAAAACCUGACGGAGCAACGCCGCGUGAGAGACGAAGGACUUCGGAUCGGAAAACGCUGUUAUUAGUGAAGAACACAUGUGUAAGUUACUAUGCGCGGCUUGACGGUACCUAAUCAGAAAGCCACGGCUAACUACGGG
Molecule: ribosomal RNA, 497 nt
Filed under: uncultured bacterium
Lineage: Bacteria
Description: partial 16S ribosomal RNA
Rfam family: Bacterial small subunit ribosomal RNA
Source: RNAcentral